GACGAACGCUGGCGGCGCGCCUAACACAUGCAAGUCGAACGAGCGAGAGAGAGCUUGCUUUCUCAAGCGAGUGGCGAACGGGUGAGUAACGCGUGAGGAACCUGCCUCAAAGAGGGGGACAACAGUUGGAAACGACUGCUAAUACCGCAUAAGCCCACGACCCGGCAUCGGGUAGAGGGAAAAGGAGCAAUCCGCUUUGAGAUGGCCUCGCGUCCGAUUAGCUAGUUGGUGAGGUAACGGCCCACCAAGGCGACGAUCGGUAGCCGGACUGAGAGGUUGAACGGCCACAUUGGGACUGAGACACGGCCCAGACUCCUACGGGAAGCAGCAGUGGGGAAUAUUGCACAAUGGGGGAAACCCUGAUGCAGCGACGCCGCGUGGAGGAAGAAGGUCUUCGGAUUGUAAACUCCUGUUGUCGAGGAAGAUAAUGACGGUACUCAACAAGGAAGUGACGGCUAACUACGUG
This 466-nucleotide ribosomal RNA is filed under the name uncultured bacterium. RNAcentral describes it as "partial 16S ribosomal RNA". It matches the Rfam family "Bacterial small subunit ribosomal RNA", at positions 28 to 507 of the family's 1533-position model. The record is from RNAcentral.